Symsagittifera roscoffensis is the source of this 404-nucleotide long non-coding RNA. RefSeq lists it as uncharacterized. The transcript is spliced from 3 exons. The record is from RefSeq and is a predicted model, not a curated record. NCBI's taxonomy places the organism in Eukaryota, Metazoa, Xenacoelomorpha, Acoela, Convolutidae.
CAAGAGGUACUUUUACGCCCAGAUGGGAUGGUAUCUAACACCUUUGUUCUGUGGCGCCACUGUGAUUGAAGAAAAAUUUAUUCUUACAGCUGCGUUAUGUGUUUAUCGUUAUAAAGCUAACGACCUUUACGUGGACAUCGGAGAUUUCACACUUCCCCACAUGCCAAAAACAAGAUACUGGAUUUCGAAAAUCUACAUCGCACCCGGAUUUGAGCCAAGCGCUAUGCCUAAAAACGAUUUGGCUAUUCUACGAACGCAUGUUCCGAUUAUGGAGUUCCAGCAACUCUACCUUCCGAUCUGUCCAUAUGAAAUUCCCCCUCGUGAGAGGUUUCAACAAGUUUUUGGAACUUGCGGAAUGGGAAAAGCCAACAGAUCUAUCAACGGACCAAUAGUGUCACCGAUUU